This 736-nucleotide long non-coding RNA is filed under the name Equus asinus (donkey). RNAcentral's name for it is "lncRNA (ENSEASG00005037991.1)". The record is from RNAcentral. Lineage: Eukaryota; Metazoa; Chordata; Mammalia; Perissodactyla; Equidae.
GUGAAGCCCUAGGCACAGUACCUGGACAGACCUGGCUAUCCAGUAGCACCUAUUCUAACCUUACAGGGCAGAGCCAGGUGAAACAUCAGAACAGGGAGAAGACUCUAGAAACUGAGAAUUGACUUGAAUUUGACUUAGAUUUCAACGCACUUAUUAAGUAACUACUGUGCAUUGGGCCUGUGCUAGUGCCAGGGACACAAAGACCAGGAUAGCACGGGCUGUUUCUCAAGAAGCUCUCAGGCUGCUGGGGGAGAAAGGCACAGGAACGAAGUGGCAGUGCCUUGUGGAGAGAAAACACUUGGCCAAAGCUCUUCACUGAGGGACCUGAAUUCAGAAGACCUGAACUGCAGCCAAGAUGCCAACCCUGUCUCUACAGCAAUGACAACCGGAGGACCCUCCCAUUUGGAAACCUUAACCUCUAUUAUGCUGAGGAACAGUUUGAGCAUUAAACAACUUUCGAAUCAUAUUCUCAUAAACCAUCCCAUUUGGGUCUCCUGGAAGUCCUGUGAGGAAGGCAGUGAAGGUAUUGGUGGCACAGUGUCUUCCUGAAGCUACAGAGACAGAUGGUCGGUGGAGUUUGGCUGGAGGAGGCGUUAAGGAAACUCCUAACUGCACUGGUGAGGAACGUGCAGCUGCCCAAGGCCCAUCCAAAACUAUGUGCAAGCCAGUGACUCACCAUGUGGGCAUCCCAGUCUGAUGCUGCUCGAGAACUUCCAGACCUCUACAGAGAAGGAGG